AGCCAGCAGGGCUCUGCUCAUGAUGCUUUCUAAAGGACACUGAGGGUAGAGGAGAGCUUUCUGCUUCUUCAUCUCCGUAUCCUGCUCCUGGGAAUGCUAUGUUAUGGAUUUUUUCUGAGCCAGCUUGGAUGACUGGUUUCCUCUCAAGCCGUGUUUGUUGAGCUCCUCAGCUUUCAGAUCCCUCUUCCUGGGAAGGAUUUGGUUAUAAGGAAGAUGGUGGGACUUCAGGCCAUGAAAAGUAAUUGAGCUUUGAGAUCUUUCCUCUGUCCAUGAACUGAGUUUGUGCGAGUCCAGCACAUUAGCUCUGCUGCCUUUGAGUGAGGCUGGUUGAUACCAGCUGAUUAACUGUAAUUGGCAGUGAAACA
Molecule: long non-coding RNA, 365 nt
Filed under: Anser brachyrhynchus (Pink-footed goose)
Lineage: Eukaryota; Metazoa; Chordata; Aves; Anseriformes; Anatidae
Description: lncRNA (ENSABRG00000006717.1)
Source: RNAcentral